Molecule: transfer RNA, 58 nt
Filed under: Gekko vittatus (white-lined gecko)
Lineage: Eukaryota; Metazoa; Chordata; Lepidosauria; Squamata; Gekkonidae
Description: tRNA-Trp
Source: RNAcentral
AAAUUUAAGUUAGCAAAACUAAGGGCCUUCAAAGCCCUAAACAGGAACCUAAUUUCUG